This 2916-nucleotide ribosomal RNA is filed under the name SAR92 bacterium BACL16 MAG-120619-bin48. RNAcentral's name for it is "bacterial LSU rRNA". It matches the Rfam family "Bacterial large subunit ribosomal RNA". Lineage: Bacteria; Pseudomonadati; Pseudomonadota; Gammaproteobacteria; Cellvibrionales; Porticoccaceae. The record is from RNAcentral.
UGUAUGGUCAAGCGAGUAAGCGCAUACGGUGAAUGCCUUGGCAGUUGGAGGCGAUGAAGGACGUAGGAGCCUGCGAUAAGCUUCGGGGAGGUGGCAAACACCCUUUGAUCCGAAGAUUUCCGAAUGGGGAAACCCACCCAUCAUAAGAUGGGUAUCAUGCACUGAAUACAUAGGUGUAUGAAGCGAACCCGGAGAACUGAAACAUCUAAGUACCCGGAGGAAAAGAAAUCAACCGAGAUUCCCUAAGUAGCGGCGAGCGAACGGGGAGCAGCCUGCAAGUGAUAGCAGUAGUGUUAGUGGAACAGUCUGGAAAGUCUGGUAAUAAAGGGUGAUAGCCCCGUACACGAAAACACUUCUGUGGUACUAAGCUUGCGAUAAGUAGGUCGGGACACGUGUUAUCCUGAUUGAAUAUGGGGGGACCAUCCUCCAAGGCUAAAUACUACCAACUGACCGAUAGUGAACUAGUACCGUGAGGGAAAGGCGAAAAGAACCCCUGUGAGGGGAGUGAAAUAGAUCCUGAAACCGUAUGCGUACAAGCAGUAGGAGCGGACUUGUUCCGUGACUGCGUACCUUUUGUAUAAUGGGUCAGCGACUUAUUUUCAGUGGCAAGGUUAACCGUAUAGGGGAGCCGUAGGGAAACCGAGUCUUAAUAGGGCGUUUUAGUCGCUGGGAAUAGACCCGAAACCGGGCGAUCUAUCCAUGGCCAGGUUGAAGGUUGAGUAACAUCAACUGGAGGACCGAACCCACUAAAGUUGAAAAUUUAGGGGAUGAGCUGUGGAUCGGAGUGAAAGGCUAAUCAAGCCCGGAGAUAGCUGGUUCUCCUCGAAAGCUAUUUAGGUAGCGCCUCAUGUCUCACCACUGGGGGUAGAGCACUGUUUCGGCUAGGGGGUCAUACCGACUUACCAACCCGAUGCAAACUCCGAAUACCAGUGAGUGCAAUCAUGGGAGACACACGGCGGGUGCUAACGUUCGUCGUGGAGAGGGAAACAACCCAGACCGCCAGCUAAGGUCCCAAAUCUCAGUUAAGUGGGAAACGAUGUGGGAAGGCUCAGACAGCUAGGAGGUUGGCUUAGAAGCAGCCAUCCUUUAAAGAAAGCGUAAUAGCUCACUAGUCGAGUCGGCCUGCGCGGAAGAUGUAACGGGGCUAAACUGAGAACCGAAGCUGCGGAUGCAUAGUUUACUAUGCAUGGUAGAGGAGCGUUCUGUAAGCCGUUGAAGGUGCAUCGUAAGGUGUGCUGGAGGUAUCAGAAGUGCGAAUGCUGACGUGAGUAACGAUAAAGGGGGUGAAAAACCCCCUCGCCGGAAGAUCAAGGUUUCCUGUCCAACGCUAAUCGGGACAGGGUUAGUCGGCACCUAAGGCGAGGCCGAAAGGCGUAGUCGAUGGAAAACAGGUUAAUAUUCCUGUACCUCUUUAUACUGCGAUGGGGGGACGGAGAAGGCUAGGUGAUCAGGGCGUUGGUUGUCCCUGUAUAAGCUUGUAGGGAGAUCUCUUAGGUAAAUCCGGGAGGUCAUAUCCUGAGGAGUGAUAUCGAGCUCAAUUGCGAGCGAAGUCAUUGAUGCCAUGCUUCCAAGAAAAGCCUCUAAGCUUCAGGUAUAAAGAGACCGUACUCUAAACCGACACAGGUGAUCAGGUAGAGAAUACCAAGGCGCUUGAGAGAACUCAGGUGAAGGAACUAGGCAAAAUGGUGCCGUAACUUCGGGAGAAGGCACGCCAAUUUUGGUGACGGGACUUGCUCCCCGAGCUGAAGUUGGCCGCAGAGACCAGGCCCCUGCGACUGUUUAUCUAAAACACAGCACUCUGCAAACUCGUAAGAGGAAGUAUAGGGUGUGACGCCUGCCCGGUGCCGGAAGGUUAAUUGAUGGGGUUAGCUUCGGCGAAGCUCUUGAUCGAAGCCCCGGUAAACGGCGGCCGUAACUAUAACGGUCCUAAGGUAGCGAAAUUCCUUGUCGGGUAAGUUCCGACCUGCACGAAUGGCGUAACGAUGGGGGCGCUGUCUCCACCUGAGACUCAGUGAAAUCGAAAUCGCGGUGAAGAUGCCGUGUUCCCGCGGCUAGACGGAAAGACCCCGUGAACCUUUACUAUAGCUUGGCACUGAACUUUGAACCUAUCUGUGUAGGAUAGGUGGGAGGCUUUGAAGCGUGAUCGCUAGAUUGCGUGGAGCCAUCCUUGAAAUACCACCCUGGUAUGUUUGAGGUUCUAACGCAGACCCGUUAUCCGGGUCGCGGACAGUGUCUGGUGGGUAGUUUGACUGGGGCGGUCUCCUCCCAAAGAGUAACGGAGGAGCGCGAUGGUACACUCAGCAUGGUCGGAAAUCAUGCUAUGAGCGCAAAGGUAGAAGUGUGCUUGACUGCGAGACUGACACGUCGAGCAGGUACGAAAGUAGGUCUUAGUGAUCCGGUGGUUCUGUAUGGAAGGGCCAUCGCUCAACGGAUAAAAGGUACUCCGGGGAUAACAGGCUGAUACCGCCCAAGAGUUCAUAUCGACGGCGGUGUUUGGCACCUCGAUGUCGGCUCAUCACAUCCUGGGGCUGGAGCUGGUCCCAAGGGUAUGGCUGUUCGCCAUUUAAAGUGGUACGCGAGCUGGGUUCAGAACGUCGUGAGACAGUUCGGUCCCUAUCUGCCGUGGGCGUUGGAAAAUUGAGGAAAGCUGCUCCUAGUACGAGAGGACCGGAGUGGACGAACCGCUGGUGUUUGGGUUGUCAUGCCAAUGGCAUUGCCCAGUAGCUACGUUCGGACAGGAUAACCGCUGAAAGCAUCUAAGCGGGAAGCCCCUUCCAAGAUUAAUUUUCCCUGGGAGUUUAACUUCCCUGAAGGGCCGUUCAAGACUAGGACGUUGAUAGGUUGGGUGUGGAAGCGCUGUGAGGCGUUGAGCUAACCAAUACUAAUUGCCCGUGAGGCUUGACCAUAUAAUGCAAG